UAGGGAAUCUUCCACAAUGGGCGAAAGCCUGAUGGAGCAAUGCCGCGUGUGUGAAGAAGGUCUUCGGAUCGUAAAGCACUGUUGUAAGUGAAGAAUGCCAUAUAGAGGAAAUGCUAUGUGGGUGACGGUAGCUUACCAGAAAGCCACGGCUAACUACGUGCCAGCAGCCGCGGUAAUACGUAGGUGGCAAGCGUUAUCCGGAAUCAUUGGGCGUAAAGGGUGCGUAGGUGGCACGAUAAGUCUGAAGUAAAAGGCAACAGCUCAACUGUUGUAUGCUUUGGAAACUGUCGAGCUAGAGUGCAGAAGAGGGCGAUGGAAUUCCAUGUGUAGCGGUAAAAUGCGUAGAUAUAUGGAGGAACACCAGUGGCGAAGGCGGUCGCCUGGUCUGUAACUGACACUGAUGCACGAAAGCGUGGGGAGCAAAUAGGAUUAGAUACC
RNAcentral lists this ribosomal RNA (438 nucleotides) under uncultured bacterium. Its description in RNAcentral is "bacterial SSU rRNA". It matches the Rfam family "Bacterial small subunit ribosomal RNA", at positions 355 to 786 of the family's 1533-position model. The record is from RNAcentral.